UGGUCAUAUUUUGUGGGCCUUUUACCAGCUAGUGGUCAGGCUGUUGAAGAGAAUGUACUGAAAGUGCCAGAUGGCUAGAGGACUACACACAAUCGUAAACACUGCACAUGGAGCACUGAAGUGGAGAACCAGGCCUAAGGUGCCCGGUUAUAAACAAAAGUGGUAGAGCAGCCUCAGCAGUUGGCAUGAAAAGUGUUGACAAGAGAACAAAAGCAAAGUGAAACCUCAAAGCUGUCGUCUACUAACGACUGUGUAGGAGAGUAAGCUGGAAGAACUAUGCCCAGCAUGGGUACACUUUCAGAGCAGCACUAAUCAGUGUAAAAUGGCUGUAAAGGAUUAUGGGAUUUGAAUUAUGGGUAAAAACAAUGGAAGGUUUUUGGAUGUAGUAGGGUGGAAGGACUGGUGAGAGCAUGGACAAAUCCUGGAGUUUUAUUUUGGACUGGUGGGAUGGUGGCUGUUGGGUGUAUAUAAAAGAUAAAGUAUUGAAAAUAAUUCAGGAGAGAGAUGAUAUUUAAACUUAUAACCAGAAGACACUCUAGGGACAAAAAGAAAGACUGAUCUGAUUCCUGACUUCUGUCAGUACUAAAGGAAUGGUUAGAAUUGUACAAUAUCGGUUUUCCAAAGAAGAAAUAUACAGUAGUUAUAAUUUCCUGAGAGCAUACAGGAAAACAUAACAGACAAAAACAAUGUAAACCUUUCUUUUCCAUCCUUAGUUUCUUUGUAUGCACCCCAGCUAAUUAGAUACUAGGGGAUGACGGUUGCUUGUAAAUAUCUUAGAUUAUAUUAAUAUUUAGAUUGGUUCAGUAGAUAUCAGUGUUCAUUAUGGAUCCAAUCCUGAGAGGUUCUGAUCACCCUCCACUCCCAUUAAAAUAGAUCAUAAUCUUGUAGGAUCAGGUCCAUGAUCUGUGAAAUCAAAGGAAACAGACAUACCUGAACAAACCUCUUCAUAGGUGGGAUUUGGGGUACACCCUCCUGCAUAACCCACUUGAGUGGAGUAGACUCCUUUCUGUGUCCAAAACUUUCUCUCUGCUCCCCAGAAACAUCCCAUACC
Molecule: long non-coding RNA, 1051 nt
Organism: Dermochelys coriacea (leatherback sea turtle)
Lineage: Eukaryota; Metazoa; Chordata; Testudines; Dermochelyidae
Exons: 2
Source: RefSeq, a predicted model, not a curated record